RNAcentral lists this ribosomal RNA (493 nucleotides) under uncultured bacterium. Its description in RNAcentral is "partial 16S ribosomal RNA". It matches the Rfam family "Bacterial small subunit ribosomal RNA", at positions 30 to 523 of the family's 1533-position model. The record is from RNAcentral.
AUUGAACGCUGGCGGCAUGCUUUACACAUGCAAGUCGAACGGUAACAGGUUAAGCUGACGAGUGGCGAACGGGUGAGUAAUGCAUCGGAACGUGCCCGAUCGUGGGGGAUAACGCAGCGAAAGCUGCGCUAAUACCGUAUACGAUCUGAGGAUGAAAGCGGGGGACCGUAAGGCCUCGCGCGAUCGGAGCGGCCGAUGUCAGAUUAGGUAGUUGGUGGGGUAAAGGCCCACCAAGCCGACGAUCUGUAGCUGGUCUGAGAGGACGACCAGCCACACUGGGACUGAGACACGGCCCAGACUCCUACGGGAGGCAGCAGUGGGGAAUUUUGGACAAUGGGCGAAAGCCUGAUCCAGCAAUGCCGCGUGCAGGAAGAAGGCCUUCGGGUUGUAAACUGCUUUUGUACGGAGCGAAAAGGUCCUUUCUAAUACAGGGGGCUCAUGACGGUACCGUAAGAAUAAGCACCGGCUAACUACGUGCCAGCCGCCGCAGUAA